This 253-nucleotide ribosomal RNA is filed under the name uncultured bacterium. RNAcentral describes it as "partial 16S ribosomal RNA". It matches the Rfam family "Bacterial small subunit ribosomal RNA", at positions 524 to 776 of the family's 1533-position model. The record is from RNAcentral.
UACAGAGGGGGCAAGCGUUGUUCGGAAUUACUGGGCGUAAAGGGCGCGUAGGCGGCCUGUUAAGUCGAACGUGAAAUCCCUGGGCUCAACCCAGGAACUGCGUCCGAUACUGGCAGGCUUGAAUUCGGGAGAGGGAUGCGGAAUUCCAGGUGUAGCGGUGAAAUGCGUAGAUAUCUGGAGGAACACCGGUGGCGAAGGCGGCUCACUGGCCCGGUACUGACGCUGAGGUGCGAAAGCGUGGGGAGCAAACAGG